Molecule: ribosomal RNA, 460 nt
Filed under: uncultured bacterium
Lineage: Bacteria
Description: partial 16S ribosomal RNA
Rfam family: Bacterial small subunit ribosomal RNA
Source: RNAcentral
CCUACGGGUGGCAGCAGUGAGGAAUAUUGGUCAAUGGACGCAAGUCUGAACCAGCCAUGCCGCGUGCAGGAAGACUGCUCUAUGAGUUGUAAACUGCUUUUGUACGAGGGUAAACGCAGACACGCGUAUCUGUUUGAAAGUAUCGUACGAAUAAGGAUCGGCUAACUCCGUGCCAGCAGCCGCGGUAAUACGGAGGAUUCAAGCGUUAUCCGGAUUUAUUGGGUUUAAAGGGAGCGUAGGCGGUCGGAUAAGUUAGUGGUGAAAGCCCGAGGCUCAACUUCGGAAUUGCAUUUGAUACUGUUCGGCUAGAGAGUAGUUGCGGUAGGCGGAAUGUAUGGUGUAGCGGUGAAAUGCUUAGAGAUCAUGCAGAACACCGAUUGCGAAGGCAGCUUACCAAGCUAUUUCUGACGUUGAGGCACGAAAGCGUGGGGAGCAAACAGGAUUAGAUACCCGAGUAGUC